GGUCCUGUCGCUUAACAGGUUAAAGCACCGGCCUCAUAAGCCGGCAGAUGCAGGUUCGAAUCCCGCCGGGACCACCA
This 77-nucleotide transfer RNA is filed under the name Hahella sp. CCB-MM4. RNAcentral's name for it is "tRNA-Met". It matches the Rfam family "tRNA". From Rfam's summary of the family: Transfer RNA (tRNA) molecules are approximately 80 nucleotides in length. Their secondary structure includes four short double-helical elements and three loops (D, anti-codon, and T loops). Lineage: Bacteria; Pseudomonadati; Pseudomonadota; Gammaproteobacteria; Oceanospirillales; Hahellaceae. The record is from RNAcentral.